UACGAAGGGGGCUAGCGUUGCUCGGAAUCACUGGGCGUAAAGGGUGCGUAGGCGGGUCUUUAAGUCAGAUGUGAAAUCCUGGAGCUCAACUCCAGAACUGCCUUUGAUACUGAGGAUCUUGAGUACGGGAGAGGUGAGUGGAACUGCGAGUGUAGAGGUGAAAUUCGUAGAUAUUCGCAAGAACACCAGUGGCGAAGGCGGCUUCCUGGACCGACACUGACGCUGAGGCGCGAAAGCUAGGGGAGCAAACGGU
This 253-nucleotide ribosomal RNA is filed under the name uncultured bacterium. Its description in RNAcentral is "partial 16S ribosomal RNA". It matches the Rfam family "Bacterial small subunit ribosomal RNA", at positions 524 to 776 of the family's 1533-position model. The record is from RNAcentral.